UGGGGAAUUUUGGACAAUGGGCGAAAGCCUGAUCCAGCAAUGCCGCGUGUGUGAAGAAGGCCUUCGGGUUGUAAAGCACUUUUGUCCGGAAAGAAAUCCUUGGCUUUAAUACAGUCGGGGGAUGACGGUACCGGAAGAAUAAGCACCGGCUAACUACGUGCCAGCAGCCGCGGUAAUACGUAGGGUGCAAGCGUUAAUCGGAAUUACUGGGCGUAAAGCGUGCGCAGGCGGUUUGCUAAGACCGAUGUGAAAUCCCCGGGCUCAACCUGGGAACUGCAUUGGUGACUGGCAGGCUAGAGUAUGGCAGAGGGGGGUAGAAUUCCACGUGUAGCAGUGAAAUGCGUAGAGAUGUGGAGGAAUACCGAUGGCGAAGGCAGCCCCCUGGGCCAAUACUGACGCUCAUGCACGAAAGCGUGGGGGACAAACAGGAUUAGAUACCCUGGUAGUCCACGCCCUAAACGAUGUCAACUAGUUGUUGGGGAUUCAUUUCCUUAGUAACGUAGCUAACGCGUGAAGUUGACCGCCUGGGGAGUACGGUCGCAAGAUUAAAACUCAAAGGAAUUGACGGGGUCAUAGCUGUUUCCU
This 585-nucleotide ribosomal RNA is filed under the name uncultured bacterium. RNAcentral's name for it is "partial 16S ribosomal RNA". It matches the Rfam family "Bacterial small subunit ribosomal RNA", at positions 355 to 1375 of the family's 1533-position model. The record is from RNAcentral.